Molecule: long non-coding RNA, 3284 nt
Filed under: Triticum aestivum (bread wheat)
Lineage: Eukaryota; Viridiplantae; Streptophyta; Magnoliopsida; Poales; Poaceae
Description: long non-coding RNA (TAES_LNC019234)
Source: RNAcentral
GCUGAUUCUUCUGCUGGCCCGAGCGUGUGAGACCUCUUGUGGUCGGCUGCUGGCUCUUCCACAGGACCGAUACAACAUUCACCCAUCUGUAUAAGCCUAGGACUUCUCCUAGGAGUGUCGGUAUGGUAGUUCUUCUUACGAUAUUUCCUUUUCACACUCACUGACUUGGCGGUUGCUUCCAAAGCAUGUCCGGACUCAGUAGUCUCUUGCCUUCCUUCAGUUGCUGCAACAGACACAGCAUGCACAUCUUGAGUUCCUUCACUAGCUGCAAGGAGAGGUGCUUCCUCCAUAAUCAUGGACGAUGCGGUAGCUUCCAAAGCAUGUACGGGCUCAGAAGCCUCUUGCCUUCCUUCACUAGCUGCAACAAACAUAGCCUGCCUAUCUUGACUUCCUUCACUGGCUGCAACAAACACGGCCUGCUCAUUCUGACUUCCUUCACCAGCUGCAACAAACACGGCCUGCACCCCUCGGCUUCCUUCACCAGCUAGGACAAACACAUCCUGCUUAUCAAGCGACGCUGCCCGGUGCUGAGUUGCAAUUAGAACCUCCUGAACAGUCUCGUCAUCGCUGNNNNNNNNNNGUGGGACCCCAUAGUCAGUCCGACGUGGCGGGUAUGCCCGGGAGCCCCCACAUUCGCACCAUAUUUGGGUUGGAUAUGCGGGUGUCGGUCAGCCCGCGCGUUUGAGGCCCGUUUUAGGCGUCUGCCUGGGUCAAAAUUUCGUGAUCGGGCAGUGACCGGACGGCCCGCUCGGAUGGGAUGUAUGAGGCGGGUUUGAGAGUUCCGGGUUUAGAUGCUCUAAGCCGAUUGAGAUUUUUCCUGUAUAAAAGCCGGUUAUGUGUUAAACUUUUUUAUAUAUAAAUGGCAAGGCCCCAAAUGUUAUACAAGAGUGUAUGUUACAGUCAAAAGUUUGUAGGGAGUUAAUCCUGCAUUAAUUGUUAGCUUUUCUAAUGGAGCAAAUGAUUUUUUUUUUAAUUUCCAAAUCUCUCUCUCUAUUGCCCAUCUAUAGUUUGUUAAAUACUAGAACAUCAUCUUUCAAAAAAAGAAAGGGUUAUGCGCCGUCGCAAACUAUUGCUUCCUAUCUUCCCGUUUUUGUCAGAUGCAUAUCUUCAAGCUGGCCGUGGCAUGUCUGCAAUUUUCUCUCCAUAUCUAGCAUUAGAUCGACAAAUAAUUUGAAAUUCAAGUCUUUGAAAAAUAAAACGGAGUAAAAAAAAUGUCAUGCCCCAAAAGGUUGUAUUCUGAACCGCAGCAAGAACACUUUGUCAUGCAUAACAUUACCAGCUGUGCAGGUCAGCAAGAACGCCUGUAAAUUCAUCUGCGGACAGAACUAAACUAUCGCUUCAGCCUUCAUCUACCAAAGCCACACACCUUUUUUGCAAUAUUGAUAAUCAAAAUGCAGUUGCUCUAACAAAUCUGGAUCUAUUGUUGGUUUGGUUACAUCUCAGCUUGGAGCCAGGAUUAACUCCUACAAAUUUUUCUUAAGCUCCCAGAAAACAGCAGCUGCGCGCCAUUUCCAAGCUCACCAAAAUACCACCUAAUUAAUGAUGUGCUUGACGAAACAAGUCCAAAAAUCACCCACAGUUUACAUCCUAGACGAAUUUGAGAUGGCGCAACGCGAGCUCAGAUCGAUCCCACUACAGAUGCAAUAAGAGUGGUUACACAUGAGAGGAACUACAGCAACAAGAGUUAGAAAGAUUCAGUCAACUAGAGUUAGUUUGCAGGGUCGGUAGUUCUUCCUACGACAUUUCACCUUCCCGGUCACCAGCUUUGCAUCACCACCUUGUGAGGACAGAGCCUUCGGACUGCUGGAAGUCAGGCCUGCAGCAGGAUCACUGUUAGCAUCUUUCUGGCAAGGCCACUGUUAACUCCAAAUGCUAGGAAUUUGUCGCAACACUUGCAUUGAUAUGGAUUUUUUGCAUGAUAAAAAACACAACUGUAAUGACAAGAAUGGCGCUGAUGUUGGAGGGUGAGGACAAUUCGGCGAUUCAGCAUGUUGGAGAGCAAGGACAACCGUACCAAGAGGUGGUUUUUCCCUAACCAAGGACAAGAUAUGGUAGUUCCUCUCAAUAUGUUUCGCCUUCGCUCUCACCAGCUUUGCAUCGCCAUCUUCAGAAGUCACAGCUUUAGGACUGGUGGAAAUCGGGCCUGCAGCAGGUCACUGUUAACAUUUUUCUAGGAAGGCCAAUGUUAACUUCAAAUACCAGGAAUUUGUUGCAAUGUUUGCUUGAUAUGGAACGUUUGCAUGAUAAAGACACAACUGUAAUGACAAAGGGAUGUAGAAGAAAUUACUGGGGAAUGUCGCUGAUGUUGGAGAGCGAAGACAAUUCGUUGAUCCAGCAUGUGGCAGAGCGAGGACAACCGUUUCAGCUGAGUUGAUAAAGGCAGCUGAUUCUUCUGCUGGCCUGAGCGUGCGAGACCUCUUGUGGUCGGCUGUUGGCUCUUCCACAGGACUGGUAAAACAUUCACCCAUCUGUAUAAGCCUAGGACUUCUCCUAGGAGUGUCGGUAUGGUAGUUCUUAUGACAUUUUGCAUUCACACUCACUGACUUUGCGUCGCCACCUUCAGAAGUCUGAGCUUUCGGAGUGGUGGAAGUCAGGCCUACAACAGGUCAACGUUAACAUUUUUCAGGAAGGCCACUGCUAAACUUCUCAAAUACUAGAAAUUUGUUGCAGUGUUUGCUUGAUAUGGAUUGUUUGCAUGAUAAACACACAACUGUAGUGACAAAGGGGUAGAGAAGAACUUACUGAGGAGUGUCGUUGAUGUUGGAGAGCAAAAACAACUCGUUGAUCCAACAUGUGUCAUAGUGAGGACAGCCGUUUCAGCUGGGUCGGUAGAGGCAGCUGAUUCUUCUGCUGGCCCGAGCGUGUGAGACCUCUUGUGGUCGGCUGCUGGCUCUUCCACAGGACCGAUACAACAUUCACCCAUCUGUAUAAGCCUAGGACUUCUCCUAGGAGUGUCGGUAUGGUAGUUCUUCUUACGAUAUUUCCUUUUCACACUCACUGACUUGGCGGUUGCUUCCAAAGCAUGUCCGGACUCAGUAGUCUCUUGCCUUCCUUCAGUUGCUGCAACAGACACAGCAUGCACAUCUUGAGUUCCUUCACUAGCUGCAAGGAGAGGUGCUUCCUCCAUAAUCAUGGACGAUGCGGUAGCUUCCAAAGCAUGUACGGGCUCAGAAGCCUCUUGCCUUCCUUCACUAGCUGCAACAAACAUAGCCUGCCUAUCUUGACUUCCUUCACUGGCUGCAACAAACACGGCCUGCUCAUUCUGACUUCCUUCACCAGCUGCA